AGUUAAAUUUGCACAUAUUUUAAAAUUAUUUUUACUAGGGCCGGCGUCCGCGCUGCGCGCGGAUUACAUGUUUAAUAAAAAUCAGGUGAAUUAAAAUUGUGUGUUUUUUGGUUUCUGAAAUGAUAAGUUAAGUUUUGUUUUUUUAUACAGGGGAGAAGUUCGAAACGGUGAUCAUUUUUUUUUAAAAAACAACUGAAGUGGUAACGUAAAUGUUUUAAAAGUUGACUGGUGGUGUUUGCUAUGAGGCUUAGGAUAGCAGUUUAUUCCUCUUUUGGAAGCGUUGAAUGAUAUCAAUUUCGUUGUUAAAGUAGAAGCGCGUUCCAGGUGUUGCUGUGAGUGAUAGUUUUUCUGAAAAAGACAAAUAUUUGUUAGCAUUUAGUUUUUUGUAAAGUUUAUGUUUAGUUUAUUACCUUCAUGUAUCCGUGGAAUGAUACUUGUGAUGAUUACGACUUGUUUUUUCCUUGUUGAUAUGCGAUUUAACUCUCUGAAAUUAGAUGCCUCCUUGUCCCAUAAAGUUAGACGUACCAAUUUCGAUCUACAAAUAAUUAUUGUAUUAGAUUUUGUUUAGUUGUAAACCAAUUAUUACUUAAUAAAAAGUUUGUAC
Brassica napus (rape) is the source of this 604-nucleotide long non-coding RNA. RefSeq lists it as uncharacterized. The transcript is spliced from 2 exons. The record is from RefSeq and is a predicted model, not a curated record. Lineage: Eukaryota; Viridiplantae; Streptophyta; Magnoliopsida; Brassicales; Brassicaceae.